RNAcentral lists this ribosomal RNA (253 nucleotides) under uncultured bacterium. Its description in RNAcentral is "partial 16S ribosomal RNA". It matches the Rfam family "Bacterial small subunit ribosomal RNA", at positions 524 to 776 of the family's 1533-position model. The record is from RNAcentral.
UACGAAGGGGGCUAGCGUUGUUCGGAAUUACUGGGCGUAAAGCGCACGUAGGCGGAUAUUUAAGUCAGGGGUGAAAUCCCAGAGCUCAACUCUGGAACUGCCUUUGAUACUGGGUAUCUCGAGUAUGGAAGAGGUGAGUGGAAUUCCGAGUGUAGAGGUGAAAUUCGUAGAUAUUCGCAAGAACACCAGUGGCGAAGGCGGCUCACUGGCCCGGUACUGACGCUGAGGUGCGAAAGCGUGGGGAGCAAACAGG